Molecule: non-coding RNA, 203 nt
Organism: Pelobates cultripes (western spadefoot toad)
Lineage: Eukaryota; Metazoa; Chordata; Amphibia; Anura; Pelobatidae
Source: the annotation of a GenBank genome assembly
GACAAUGACAGGUUCAGGGGAGGUCACCACUUCCCUAUCAAAAGGGUCGGGGAUAUGCGGUUUAAGUAAGGAGACAUGGAAUACUGGAUGAAGUUUGAAAUUUGGAGGAAGUUUUAGUUUAACAACGUUGUCAUUGACUACUGCUAUUAUUUGAAAAGGACCAAGAAAAAGAGAACUCAAUUUUUAUCGAGGGGCGGUUGGUG